GUUUAGAGCCACGCCACCCUGAACAAGCUUGAUCUCUUCUGAUCUCGGAAGCUAAGCAGGAUUGGGCCUGGUUAUUACUUGGAUGGGAGACCACCUAGGAAGACAGGGUACUGUAGGCG
This 119-nucleotide ribosomal RNA is filed under the name Pteropus alecto (black flying fox). Lineage: Eukaryota; Metazoa; Chordata; Mammalia; Chiroptera; Pteropodidae. The record is from RNAcentral.